CGUUAGUGGCGCACGGGUGCGUAACGCGUGGGAAUCUGCCCUUUGGUUCGGAAUAACAGUUGGAAACGACUGCUAAUACCGGAUGAUGACGAAAGUCCAAAGAUUUAUCGCCAGAGGAUGAGCCCGCGUAGGAUUAGCUAGUUGGUGUGGUAAAGGCGCACCAAGGCGACGAUCCUUAGCUGGUCUGAGAGGAUGAUCAGCCACACUGGGACUGAGACACGGCCCAG
Molecule: ribosomal RNA, 227 nt
Filed under: uncultured bacterium
Lineage: Bacteria
Description: partial 16S ribosomal RNA
Rfam family: Bacterial small subunit ribosomal RNA
Source: RNAcentral